UGGCUCAGACAGUAAAGCGUCUGCCUGCAAUGCGGGAGACCUAGGUUCGAAUCCUGG
This 57-nucleotide transfer RNA is filed under the name Bos taurus (domestic cattle). It matches the Rfam family "tRNA", at positions 8 to 63 of the family's 71-position model. Rfam says of the family: Transfer RNA (tRNA) molecules are approximately 80 nucleotides in length. RNAcentral also lists the same sequence under 5 other names. The record is from Rfam by way of RNAcentral. Lineage: Eukaryota; Metazoa; Chordata; Mammalia; Artiodactyla; Bovidae.